CCACUGGACCUUUGUUGUUGCUUUUCAUAAGGGCCAAGCACAAAGAAUACUUCUGUUGUGAAGAAAAGCCAAUGAGUAGCUUUGAGAAGUUUGGUAUUUGGCUUGGUUUUGUGGAGGAGCCAAAGCCUUGCCCUGGGCAGGAGGACCUCCAUAGUAUGGCUGUAGAAAUGGGAAUUUCCUCUGUGACAAUACUUGCUAGCACCGCUAUAUCCAAGAUGUGGUACUGGUCCACAUCUUUAUUUGGACGCCUAUGUUACAACGCACUUUGAAAAAUUACGCACUUUGAAAAAAUCUUUCAAAGUGCGUUAAUUUUGGGACAACGUUAACGCACUUUGAAAAAAAAAAAUUCUUUUCAAAGUGCGUUAAUAUCGACCAUAUUAACGCACUUUGAAAAAAAAUGUGCACGGCUUGGUCAAUAUUCUUGCAAAUUUUAGGUAUGAUAAAUAAUUAUUUGAACCUGGUUGGAUAAUUUUUCGGUGGUGAGGUCAGGAUCUGAGAUAUAGACGUUUUAAAUAUUUUUAGGGGUUGUCUUGUUUCCAAAGGUUCUGGUAACUGUUUUAAAAGGGAAAUGGGUCUUAGAAAUAUUGGAGGAAUGAUUGUUUACUAUACAGUUUCGUUUCUUUCUUUUUUUCUUUUCUUUUUUAAAUUUUAUCCAGUCUCUAAUAAGUUCGGUAGAUGUAGGUGUCGACA
Molecule: long non-coding RNA, 690 nt
Organism: Saccostrea echinata
Lineage: Eukaryota; Metazoa; Mollusca; Bivalvia; Ostreida; Ostreidae
Exons: 3
Source: RefSeq, a predicted model, not a curated record